CCCCUCUCAACCCCAGCAGUUCUGGCCUUUAUUUUCUUGUUCUGGCCUUGCUAAAUACCAAGCAUGGUGUUCAAAAAAAUGACAGAAAACAAUGGCACUGUUCUCAGACACCUUAAGGCACAAUGGAACAGAGACACAGGUCCACUGGAUUUUGACAUUCCUCAGGAGAUAUCAGAGUUAUGCAGGAAUGCAUAAUCCACAAACUGCCAAGGAGAAACAUCAAGAAGAUUCAGAAGCUGAGCUAAUUCAAGUCUUACCCUGUUAGAC
Cyanistes caeruleus (blue tit) is the source of this 267-nucleotide long non-coding RNA. RefSeq lists it as uncharacterized. The record is from RefSeq and is a predicted model, not a curated record. NCBI's taxonomy places the organism in Eukaryota, Metazoa, Chordata, Aves, Passeriformes, Paridae.